CUUGUCACUUGAAAUGUUGUUCAAUGCUCUCAUCACAGCUGCUUGGACAUAUUCAAGUGUCCCAAAUGAUGUUCUUUGAGAUGAGUUUUGAAUUUUGGGGAAGAAAUUUCAAAGAGCCAAGUCAGGACAUACGAGCAGCAGCUGUGGCUGAUACAGUCGCCCAGUGGAUGAAAGGACAAUGAAUCUCUGAAGCCACAUCGUUGCUUGGUAACCACCUGCUAGGAAGCGCAGAAGUGGAACACAUACAGUGCCCUGGAGGCUCAGGGGCAUCACAUCUCAUAGACAAAUGGGUGCCUUGCAGUUGGCCUGAGGAUCAAGCGUGUCAAGCACAGAGCUCUCUUACAAGCAGCCUCAUAGAGAUAUAUACAUUGAACACAGCCAUACUUCAAUUAUGUUGGAAAUAAACAGCAAGAAUUAC
Long non-coding RNA from Anolis carolinensis (green anole), 418 nucleotides. RefSeq lists it as uncharacterized. The record is from RefSeq and is a predicted model, not a curated record. The transcript is spliced from 2 exons. NCBI's taxonomy places the organism in Eukaryota, Metazoa, Chordata, Lepidosauria, Squamata, Anolidae.